This is a long non-coding RNA of Micropterus dolomieu (smallmouth bass), 175 nucleotides long. RefSeq lists it as uncharacterized. Lineage: Eukaryota; Metazoa; Chordata; Actinopteri; Centrarchiformes; Centrarchidae. The transcript is spliced from 3 exons. The record is from RefSeq and is a predicted model, not a curated record.
AAAACCUUUGCAAGUCCCAGCUCCAGCAUUGUCUAGCAUUGGUGCUUCUAGUGGAACAGACCGAGAUGAGCAUCUUGAUGUCAUUCCAGAAGCCACAGAAAUUCAGGGCCUUGAACAAAGCUUACAUGACAUGAGCAUUGUUGAGGAGGACUUGGAGGAAAAUGUUUUCAAUGAC